CCUUCGGUAGCCCAGCGGUAGAGCGCGAGAUCAUACAUGGUGUGCGCGAAAAUAUGUUUCAUCUCGAAACGCUGGUUCGAGUCCAGCCUGAAGGA
Molecule: non-coding RNA, 95 nt
Organism: Peniophora sp. CONT
Lineage: Eukaryota; Fungi; Basidiomycota; Agaricomycetes; Russulales; Peniophoraceae
Source: Rfam